GGAUGAACGCUGGCGGCGUGCCUAACACAUGCAAGUCGAACGAUGAAACCGCCCUCGGGCGGACAUGAAGUGGCGAACGGGUGAGUAACACGUGACCAACCUGCCCCCCUCUCCGGGACAACCUUGGGAAACCGAGGCUAAUACCGGAUACUCCCUCCCCUGCUCCUGCAGGGGUCGGGAAAGCCCAGGCGGAGGGGGAUGGGGUCGCGGCCCAUUAGGUAGUAGGCGGGGUAACGGCCCACCUAGCCCGCGAUGGGUAGCCGGGUUGAGAGACCGACCGGCCACAUUGGGACUGAGAUACGGCCCAGACUCCUACGGGAGGCAGCAGUGGGGAAUUUUGCGCAAUGGGGGAAACCCUGACGCAGCAACGCCGCGUGCGGGACGACGGCCUUCGGGUUGUAAACCGCUUUCAGCAGGGAAGAAAUUCGACGGUACCUGCAGAAGAAGCUCCGGCUAACUACGUGCCAGCAGCCGCGGUAAUACGUAGGGAGCGAGCGUUAUCCGGAUUCAUUGGGCGUAAAGAGCGCGUAGGCGGCCUCUCAAGCGGGAUCUCUAAUCCGAGGGCUCAACCCCCGGCCGGAUCCCGAACUGGGAGGCUCGAGUUCGGUAGAGGCAGGCGGAAUUCCCGGUGUAGCGGUGGAAUGCGCAGAUAUCGGGAAGAACACCGAUGGCGAAGGCAGCCUGCUGGGCCGCAACUGACGCUGAGGCGCGAAAGCUAGGGGAGCGAACAGGAUUAGAUACCCUGGUAGUCCUAGCCGUAAACGAUGGAUACUAGGUGUGGGGGGCUCCGCCCUCCGUGCCGCAGCCAACGCAUUAAGUAUCCCGCCUGGGGAGUACGGCCGCAAGGCUAAAACUCAAAGGAA
Molecule: ribosomal RNA, 863 nt
Filed under: human gut metagenome
Description: bacterial SSU rRNA
Rfam family: Bacterial small subunit ribosomal RNA
Source: RNAcentral